Molecule: long non-coding RNA, 440 nt
Organism: Vigna angularis (adzuki bean)
Lineage: Eukaryota; Viridiplantae; Streptophyta; Magnoliopsida; Fabales; Fabaceae
Exons: 2
Source: RefSeq, a predicted model, not a curated record
GCAGCUGCAUGUUGAUUGAACCUAUAUUAGAAAGAAAAAACAUUGAGAGUAAAGUUUAUUGCUUUGAUAUACCAGAAUUAUUAAAAAUGACUAAGUUUUUCUUUUCACACAUAUGCCUUGAUCCUUAUCAUUUCAGUUAUUUCAGGAAUAAGCGGAGUAAAUGUCAAAAGAUGUGAAAAAUUAAUACAGCCCACAAACUGUACCAUCCAAAAAUGUCGAUCAGAUUGCUCCAACAUGUUUAAAAGCUUAUUAGAACCGUUUGGAGAAUGCAUUCAAAACACUAAGACUAAUACUUAUGAAUGUUUUUGCUUCUAUGAUUGUAAUGCAACACCACAUUUGGUGUAAACCUAGGCAGUGAUAAUAUGUACCCAGCCAAAGAGGGUGAGAGAAAUAAGAUUUCUAGAAUUAAUCAAUAAACAAUAUAGUUUUUUGAUUCCUUA